Small nuclear RNA from Pseudophryne corroboree (corroboree frog), 120 nucleotides. RefSeq annotates it as U5 spliceosomal RNA. NCBI's taxonomy places the organism in Eukaryota, Metazoa, Chordata, Amphibia, Anura, Myobatrachidae. The transcript has a single exon. The record is from RefSeq and is a predicted model, not a curated record.
AUGCUGUGGUUUCUCUUCAGAACGAACAAAUCUUUCGCCUUUUACUAAAGAUUUCCGUGAAGAGGAGCAAAACUGAGUUUGUAUACCGGUAUUAGGAAUCACUAUAGAUAUUUUAGUUAU